UCCUCCUUAGCUCAGCUGGUAGAGCGACGGACUGUUAAUCCGCAGGUCGCUGGUUCAAUCCCAGCAGGAGGAG
RNAcentral lists this transfer RNA (73 nucleotides) under Motilimonas pumila. It matches the Rfam family "tRNA". From Rfam's summary of the family: Transfer RNA (tRNA) molecules are approximately 80 nucleotides in length. Their secondary structure includes four short double-helical elements and three loops (D, anti-codon, and T loops). Lineage: Bacteria; Pseudomonadati; Pseudomonadota; Gammaproteobacteria; Alteromonadales. The record is from Rfam by way of RNAcentral. RNAcentral also lists the same sequence under 1 other name.